This 484-nucleotide ribosomal RNA is filed under the name uncultured bacterium. RNAcentral's name for it is "partial 16S ribosomal RNA". It matches the Rfam family "Bacterial small subunit ribosomal RNA", at positions 29 to 523 of the family's 1533-position model. The record is from RNAcentral.
AAUGAACGUUGGCGGCGUGGAUUAGGCAUGCAAGUCGCGCGAUAAAUUGCCUUCGGGCGAUGGAAAGCGGCGAAAGGGAGAGUAACACGCGGGUACCUACCCUCAGGACCGGGAUAGCUGCGGGAAACUGCAAUUAAUACCGGAUGAUGUCUCCGGACCAAAGGUGUGAUUCCGCCGGAGGAGGGGCCCACGUCCUAUCAGCUAGUUGGCGAGGUAAUAGCUCACCAAGGCUACGACGGGUACGGGGUGUGAGAGCAUGCCCUCGCUCACUGGGACUGAGACACUGCCCAGAAACCUACGGGUGGCUGCAGUCGAGAAUCUUCCGGAAUGGGCGAAAGCCUGACGGAGCGACGCCGCGUGCGAGAUGAAGGCCUUCGGGUUGUAAACCGCUGUCAGUGGGGAGGAAAUGCACGGGGGUUCUCCCUUGUGUUUGACCGAUCCGCAGAGGAAGCACAGGCUAAGUUCGUGCCAGCAGCCGCGGUAA